CAACUGAAGCUGCACCGAGCA
RNAcentral lists this microRNA (21 nucleotides) under Oreochromis niloticus (Nile tilapia). RNAcentral describes it as "oni-miR-10954". Lineage: Eukaryota; Metazoa; Chordata; Actinopteri; Cichliformes; Cichlidae. The record is from miRBase by way of RNAcentral.